GACGAACGCUGGCGGCGUGCUUAACACAUGCAAGUCGAACGGAAAGGCCCUGCUUUCGUGUGGUGCUCGAGUGGCGAACGGGUGAGUAACACGUGAGUAACCUGCCCUUGACUUUGUGAUAACUUCAGGAAACUGGUGCUAAUACCGGCUAGGAGCUCCUGCUGCUUGGUGGGGGUUGGACAUUUUCGGCGGUUGGGGAUGGACUCGCGGCUUAUUAGCUUGUUGGUGGGGUAGUGGCUUACCAAGGCUUUGACGGGUAGCCGGCCUGAGAGGGUGACCGGCCACAUUGGGACUGAGGUACGGCCCAGACUGCUACGGGAGGCAGCAGUGGGGAAUAUUGCACAAUGGGCGGAAGCCUGAUGCAGCAACGCCGCGUGCGGGAUGACGGCCUUCGGGUUGUAAACCGCUUUCGCCUGUGACGAAGCGUGAGUGACGGUAAUGGGUAAAGAAGCACCGGCUAACUACGUG
RNAcentral lists this ribosomal RNA (468 nucleotides) under uncultured bacterium. RNAcentral's name for it is "partial 16S ribosomal RNA". It matches the Rfam family "Bacterial small subunit ribosomal RNA", at positions 28 to 507 of the family's 1533-position model. The record is from RNAcentral.